CAGCGGCGCACGGGUGAGUAACACGUGGAUAACAUGCCUCAAAGUGGGGGAUAACACCGGGAAACCGGUGCUAAUACCGCAUAUUCUGACGAGAUCUGCGGAUUUUGUCAGGAAAGGAGCAAUUCGCUAUGAGAGGGGUCCGCGGCUGAUUAGCUAGUUGGUGAGGUAAUGGCUCACCAAGGCAACGAUCAGUAUCCGGUCUGAGAGGACGGUCGGCCACACUGGAAUUGAGACACGGUCCAGACUCCUACGGGAGGCAGCAGUGGGGAAUUUUUGGCAAUGGGGGCAACCCUGACCAAGCAACGCCGCGUGGAUGAUGAAGUAUCUCGGUACGUAAAAUCCUUUCGACGGGGACGAAACCGCAAGGUUGACGGUACCCGUAGAAGAAGCCCCGGCUAACUCCGUGCCAGCAGCCGCGGUAAUACGGGGGGGGCAAGCGUUGUUCGGAAUUACUGGGCGUAAAGGGCGCGUAGGCCGCUUGUUAAGUCGGGUGUGAAAACUCUGGGCUCAACCCAGAGCCUGCAUUCGAAACUGACGAGCUAGAGUUCUGGAGGGGAAAGCGGAAUUCCUGGUGUAGCAGUGAAAUGCGUAGAUAUCAGGAGGAACACCGGUGGCGAAGGCGGCUUUCUGGACAGAAAC
RNAcentral lists this ribosomal RNA (639 nucleotides) under uncultured bacterium. RNAcentral describes it as "bacterial SSU rRNA". It matches the Rfam family "Bacterial small subunit ribosomal RNA", at positions 93 to 740 of the family's 1533-position model. The record is from RNAcentral.